CCUACGGGAGGCAGCAGUCGAGAAUCAUUCACAAUGGGGGAAACCCUGAUGGUGCGACGCCGCGUGGGGGAAUGAAGGUCUUCGGAUUGUAAACCCCUGUCAUGUGGGAGCAAAUUAAAAAGAUAGUACCACAAGAGGAAGAGACGGCUAACGCUGUGCCAGAAGCCGCGGUAAUACAGAGGUCACAAGCGUUGUUCGGAAUCACGGGGCGUAAAGCGUGCGGAGGCGGUUACGUAAGUCGUGUGUGAAGGGCCCGGGCUCAACCCGCGGACGGCACAUGUGACUGCGAGACUAGAGUAAAGGAGGGGGAACCGGAAUUCUCGGUGUAGCAGUGAAAUGCGUAGAUAUCGAGAGGAACACUCGUGGCGAAGGCGGGUUCCUGGACAUUAACUGACGCUGAGGCACGAAGGCCAGGGGAGCGAAAGGGAUUAGAUACCCUUGUAGUC
Molecule: ribosomal RNA, 446 nt
Filed under: uncultured bacterium
Lineage: Bacteria
Description: partial 16S ribosomal RNA
Rfam family: Bacterial small subunit ribosomal RNA
Source: RNAcentral